RNAcentral lists this ribosomal RNA (307 nucleotides) under Bacillus sp. B10E. RNAcentral's name for it is "bacterial SSU rRNA". It matches the Rfam family "Bacterial small subunit ribosomal RNA", at positions 60 to 355 of the family's 1533-position model. Lineage: Bacteria; Bacillati; Bacillota; Bacilli; Caryophanales; Bacillaceae. RNAcentral also lists the same sequence under 4 other names. The record is from RNAcentral.
AGUCGAGCGAACUGAUUAGAAGCUUGCUUCUAUGACGUUAGCGGCGGACGGGUGAGUAACACGUGGGCAACCUGCCUGUAAGACUGGGAUAACUUCGGGAAACCGAAGCUAAUACCGGAUAGGAUCUUCUCCUUCAUGGGAGAUGAUUGAAAGAUGGUUUCGGCUAUCACUUACAGAUGGGCCCGCGGUGCAUUAGCUAGUUGGUGAGGUAACGGCUCACCAAGGCAACGAUGCAUAGCCGACCUGAGAGGGUGAUCGGCCACACUGGGACUGAGACACGGCCCAGACUCCUACGGGAGGCAGCAGU